RNAcentral lists this ribosomal RNA (372 nucleotides) under uncultured bacterium. RNAcentral describes it as "bacterial SSU rRNA". It matches the Rfam family "Bacterial small subunit ribosomal RNA", at positions 527 to 896 of the family's 1533-position model. The record is from RNAcentral.
GUAGGGGGCAAGCGUUGUCCGGAUUUAUUGGGCGUAAAGAGCGUGUAGGCGGCCGCACAGGUCCGUUGUGAAAACUGGAGGCUUAACCUUCAGACGUCGAUGGAAACCGUGCGGCUAGAGUCCGGAAGAGGAGAAUGGAAUUCCUGGUGUAGCGGUGAAAUGCGCAGAUAUCAGGAAGAACACCCGUGGCUAAGGCGGUUCUCUAGUACGGUACUGACGCUGAGGCGCGAAAGCGUGGGGAGCGAACAGGAUUAGAUACCCUGGUAGUCCACGCCGUAAACGAUGGGUGCUAGGUGUGGGGGGGUGUCGACUCCCCCCGUGCCGAAGCUAACGCAUUAAGCACCCCGCCUGGGGAGUACGGCCGCAAGGCUA